UGGCGGGGCGUUCUUGCUCACGGCCUCCGCCUUCACGGUGAAGGAGGUGGGCUCGAGGCAUAAUUUCUUGGUGUUGUACUUGCCCGGCUUGAAGGCGAACGACUCCACCCCGCCGUCGAUGGUCGGGCACUGGUUGGCCGUUCCCGUCCCCUUCACCUCCAUGUACGUCUUACUCUGGAUCUCGUCAUAUGUCAGCCUCUUCGGCACUCCCUCCGCGCUUGCUCCCUGUCACAUGUGUGCGGGUAAAGAAGAGGUAAUCACGAGGAAGGAGAGAACGAACGAGGAGGAUGGACGAGUACCGUGACAACGAGGGCGGAGGCGGCCAGGGCGAAGCCGGCGAGCUUUACGCCAUCAGCGCACUUCUGGGCCAUCUCUCGGACGUCCGACUGCAAGGAGCAGGUGAGCCUGGCACUGGCAGCAGGCUCAAGGCCGAAGGCCUUGGUGAGGUGAGAUGAGGACCUCAAUUGCACUCCUGCAGCGGUCCGGCUGGUGGCGCCGACCUUUGCCGGCUGCAUGAGGGUAGCGGCGGCCUGGAGGGACGCUGCCAUUCUUCUUUGCUACUGUGCCUGUGCUGCUUUCCUCCUCCUCUUCUUCU
Molecule: long non-coding RNA, 595 nt
Filed under: Musa acuminata (dwarf banana)
Lineage: Eukaryota; Viridiplantae; Streptophyta; Magnoliopsida; Zingiberales; Musaceae
Description: long non-coding RNA (MACU_LNC010075)
Source: RNAcentral